UACCAGCACCCCGAGUGGUCGGGGCGAUUAUUGGGCCUAAAGCAUCCGUAGCCGGUUUUACAAGUCCUCCGUUAAAUCCAGCUGCUUAACAGAUGGGCUGCGGAGGAUACUAUAAGACUAGGAGGCAGGAGAGGCAAGCGGUACUCAAUGGGUAGGGGUAAAAUCCGUUGAUCCAUUGAAGACCACCAGUGGCGAAGGCGGCUUGCCAGAAUGCGCUCGACGGUGAGGGAUGAAAGCUGGGGGAGCAAACCGG
RNAcentral lists this ribosomal RNA (253 nucleotides) under uncultured bacterium. RNAcentral's name for it is "partial 16S ribosomal RNA". It matches the Rfam family "Archaeal small subunit ribosomal RNA", at positions 474 to 727 of the family's 1478-position model. The record is from RNAcentral.